UGGGGAAUCUUGCACAAUGGGGGCAACCCUGAUGCAGCGACGCCGCGUGAGCGAUGAAGCCCUUCGGGGCGUAAAGCUCUUUCGACCGGAACGAUAAUGACGGUACCGGGAGAAGAAGCUGCGGCUAACUACGUGCCAGCAGCCGCGGUAAUACGUAGGCAGCAAGCGUUGUUCGGAGUUACUGGGCGUAAAGAGUGCGUAGGCGGUUUUCUAAGUUCGGUGUGAAAUCUCCCGGCUUAACUGGGAGGGUGCGCCGAAGACUGGGAAGCUGGAGUGUGGGAAAGGCAGGCGGAAUUCCUGGUGUAGCGGUGGAAUGCGUAGAUAUCAGGAGGAACACCGGCGGUGUAGACGGCUUGCUAGACCAUAACUGGCGCUGAGGCACGAAAGCGUGGGUAGCAAACA
This 402-nucleotide ribosomal RNA is filed under the name uncultured bacterium. RNAcentral describes it as "bacterial SSU rRNA". It matches the Rfam family "Bacterial small subunit ribosomal RNA", at positions 355 to 774 of the family's 1533-position model. The record is from RNAcentral.